This 169-nucleotide ribosomal RNA is filed under the name uncultured Alphaproteobacteria bacterium. RNAcentral describes it as "partial 16S ribosomal RNA". It matches the Rfam family "Bacterial small subunit ribosomal RNA", at positions 338 to 524 of the family's 1533-position model. Lineage: Bacteria; Pseudomonadati; Pseudomonadota; Alphaproteobacteria. The record is from RNAcentral.
CCUACGGGAGGCAGCAGUGGGGAAUAUUGCACAAUGGGCGCAAGCCUGAUGCAGCAACGCCGCGUGAGUGAUGAAGGCCUUCGGGUUGUAAAGCUCUUUUACCAGGGAUGAUAAUGACAGUACCUGGAGAAUAAGCUCCGGCUAACUCCGUGCCAGCAGCCGCGGUAAU